GUGAGUAGUUCAGAGUUUGAUCCUGGCUCAGGAUGAACGCUAGCUACAGGCUUAACACAUGCAAGUCGAGGGGUAGCACGGAGGAAGCUUGCUUCCUUGGGUGACGACCGGCGCACGGGUGAGUAACGCGUAUCCGACCUACCCAUUACUCGGGCACAGCCGCUCGAAAGAGUGAUUGAUUCCCGAUAUGUCCUUGGAGUAGAUUCAAUGAUGAAAGAUUUAUCGGUAAUGGAUGGGGAUGCGUAAGAUUAGGUAGUAGGCGGGGUAACGGCCCACCUAGCCGACGAUCUUUAGGGGUUCUGAGAGGAAGGUCCCCCACACUGGUACUGAGACACGGACCAG
This 342-nucleotide ribosomal RNA is filed under the name uncultured bacterium. Its description in RNAcentral is "bacterial SSU rRNA". It matches the Rfam family "Bacterial small subunit ribosomal RNA", at positions 1 to 334 of the family's 1533-position model. The record is from RNAcentral.